Molecule: ribosomal RNA, 374 nt
Filed under: uncultured organism
Description: partial 16S ribosomal RNA
Rfam family: Bacterial small subunit ribosomal RNA
Source: RNAcentral
GGGGGGGCAAGCGUUGUUCGGAAUUAUUGGGCGUAAAGGGUGUGUAGGCGGCCAUGUAAGUCUAAGGUGAAAGCCCUCGGCUUAACCGGGGAAGUGCCCUAGAUACUGCAUGGCUUGAGUGCGAGAGAGGAGAGUGGAAUUCCCAGUGUAGCGGUGAAAUGCGUAGAUAUUGGGAAGAACACCAGUGGCGAAGGCGGCUCUCUGGACCGCAACUGACGCUGAAACACGAAAGCCAGGGGAGCAAACGGGGAUUAGAUACCCCGGUAGUCCUGGCCGUAAACGAUGGGCACUAGGUGUGGGAGGUAUCGACCCCCCUUCUGUGCCGUAGCUAACGCAUUAAGUGCCCCGCCUGGGGAGUACGGUCGCAAGGCUGA